This 492-nucleotide ribosomal RNA is filed under the name uncultured bacterium. RNAcentral's name for it is "partial 16S ribosomal RNA". It matches the Rfam family "Bacterial small subunit ribosomal RNA", at positions 29 to 507 of the family's 1533-position model. The record is from RNAcentral.
AGUGAACGCUGGCGGUAGGCCUAACACAUGCAAGUCGAACGGCAGCACAGUAAGAGCUUUCUCUUACGGGUGGCGAGUGGCGUACGGGUUAGGAAUCCAUCGCACUCUACUUUUUCGUGGGUGAUAACGUAGGGCAACUUACGCUAAUACCGCAUACGACCUACUUGUGAAUUCAGGGGAUCUUCUGACCUUGCGCGUUUGCUUGAGCCGAUGGCGGAUUAGCUAGUUGGCGUGGUAAAGGCACACCAAGGCGAAGAUCCGUAGCUGGUCUGAGAGGAUGAUCAGCCAAAAGGGAACGGAGAGACGGUCCAGAAUCCUAAGGGAGGCAACAGGGGGGAAUAUUGGAGAAGGGGCGCAAGCCUGAUCAAGCCAGACAGCGUGGGUGAAGAAGGCCUUCGGGUUGUAAAGCCCUUUUGUUGGGAAAGAAAAGCAGCAGGUUAAUAACCCGCUGUUCUGACGGUACCAAAAGAAUAAGCACCGGCUAACUUCGUG